Molecule: unclassified non-coding RNA, 174 nt
Filed under: uncultured Chaetothyriales
Lineage: Eukaryota; Fungi; Ascomycota; Eurotiomycetes; Chaetothyriales
Also listed under: 1 other name
Description: sequence contains ITS2
Source: RNAcentral
UCACCCCUCAAGCCCUGCGCUUGGUGUUGGACGGCCGGUCGAGGCGACUCGACCCCUCCUAAAGACAAUGACGGCGGCCUGUGGUUCCCCCGGUACACUGAGCUUUUAACCGAGCACGUAUCGGACAAGGGCGCCCAGGACCCGGUCCUCUCCUUUGUCUAGGAAACUUCUCAA